This 2826-nucleotide ribosomal RNA is filed under the name Klebsiella quasipneumoniae. RNAcentral describes it as "bacterial LSU rRNA". It matches the Rfam family "Bacterial large subunit ribosomal RNA". The record is from RNAcentral. Lineage: Bacteria; Pseudomonadati; Pseudomonadota; Gammaproteobacteria; Enterobacterales; Enterobacteriaceae.
GGGUUGUGAGGUUAAGCGACUAAGCGUACACGGUGGAUGCCCUGGCAGUCAGAGGCGAUGAAGGACGUGCUAAUCUGCGAAAAGCGUCGGUAAGGUGAUAUGAACCGUUAUAACCGGCGAUGUCCGAAUGGGGAAACCCAGUGUGAUUCGUCACACUAUCGUUAACUGAAUACAUAGGUUAACGAGGCGAACCGGGGGAACUGAAACAUCUAAGUACCCCGAGGAAAAGAAAUCAACCGAGAUUCCCCCAGUAGCGGCGAGCGAACGGGGAGCAGCCCAGAGUCUGAAUCAGCUUGUGUGUUAGUGGAACGGUCUGGAAAGUCCGACGGUACAGGGUGAUAGUCCCGUACACCAAAAUGCACAGGUUGUGAACUCGAAGAGUAGGGCGGGACACGUGGUAUCCUGUCUGAAUAUGGGGGGACCAUCCUCCAAGGCUAAAUACUCCUGACUGACCGAUAGUGAACCAGUACCGUGAGGGAAAGGCGAAAAGAACCCCGGCGAGGGGAGUGAAAAAGAACCUGAAACCGUGUACGUACAAGCAGUGGGAGCACCUUCGGGUGUGACUGCGUACCUUUUGUAUAAUGGGUCAGCGACUUAUAUUCUGUAGCAAGGUUAACCGUAUAGGGGAGCCGCAGGGAAACCGAGUCUUAACUGGGCGUUAAGUUGCAGGGUAUAGACCCGAAACCCGGUGAUCUAGCCAUGGGCAGGUUGAAGGUUGGGUAACACUAACUGGAGGACCGAACCGACUAAUGUUGAAAAAUUAGCGGAUGACUUGUGGCUGGGGGUGAAAGGCCAAUCAAACCGGGAGAUAGCUGGUUCUCCCCGAAAGCUAUUUAGGUAGCGCCUCGUGAACUCAUCUUCGGGGGUAGAGCACUGUUUCGGCUAGGGGGUCAUCCCGACUUACCAACCCGAUGCAAACUACGAAUACCGAAGAAUGUUAUCACGGGAGACACACGGCGGGUGCUAACGUCCGUCGUGAAGAGGGAAACAACCCAGACCGCCAGCUAAGGUCCCAAAGUCAUGGUUAAGUGGGAAACGAUGUGGGAAGGCACAGACAGCCAGGAUGUUGGCUUAGAAGCAGCCAUCAUUUAAAGAAAGCGUAAUAGCUCACUGGUCGAGUCGGCCUGCGCGGAAGAUGUAACGGGGCUAAACCAUGCACCGAAGCUGCGGCAGCGACGCUUAUGCGUUGUUGGGUAGGGGAGCGUUCUGUAAGCCUGCGAAGGUGACCUGUGAGGGUUGCUGGAGGUAUCAGAAGUGCGAAUGCUGACAUAAGUAACGAUAAAGCGGGUGAAAAGCCCGCUCGCCGGAAGACCAAGGGUUCCUGUCCAACGUUAAUCGGGGCAGGGUGAGUCGACCCCUAAGGCGAGGCCGAAAGGCGUAGUCGAUGGGAAACAGGUUAAUAUUCCUGUACUUGGUGUUACUGCGAAGGGGGGACGGAGAAGGCUAUGUUAGCCGGGCGACGGUUGUCCCGGUUUAAGCAUGUAGGCUGGUUAUCCAGGCAAAUCCGGAUAAUCAAGGCUGAGGUGUGAUGACGAGGCACUACGGUGCUGAAGUAACAAAUGCCCUGCUUCCAGGAAAAGCCUCUAAGCAUCAGGUAACAUCAAAUCGUACCCCAAACCGACACAGGUGGUCAGGUAGAGAAUACCAAGGCGCUUGAGAGAACUCGGGUGAAGGAACUAGGCAAAAUGGUGCCGUAACUUCGGGAGAAGGCACGCUGGUGUGUAGGUGAAGUCCCUGCGGAUGGAGCUGAGACCAGUCGAAGAUACCAGCUGGCUGCAACUGUUUAUUAAAAACACAGCACUGUGCAAACACGAAAGUGGACGUAUACGGUGUGACGCCUGCCCGGUGCCGGAAGGUUAAUUGAUGGGGUUAUCCGUAAGGAGAAGCUCUUGAUCGAAGCCCCGGUAAACGGCGGCCGUAACUAUAACGGUCCUAAGGUAGCGAAAUUCCUUGUCGGGUAAGUUCCGACCUGCACGAAUGGCGUAAUGAUGGCCAGGCUGUCUCCACCCGAGACUCAGUGAAAUUGAACUCGCUGUGAAGAUGCAGUGUACCCGCGGCAAGACGGAAAGACCCCGUGAACCUUUACUAUAGCUUGACACUGAACAUUGAGCCUUGAUGUGUAGGAUAGGUGGGAGGCUUUGAAGCGUGGACGCCAGUCUGCGUGGAGCCAACCUUGAAAUACCACCCUUUAAUGUUUGAUGUUCUAACGUUGGCCCCUUAUCGGGGUUGCGGACAGUGUCUGGUGGGUAGUUUGACUGGGGCGGUCUCCUCCCAAAGCGUAACGGAGGAGCACGAAGGUUAGCUAAUCCUGGUCGGACAUCAGGAGGUUAGUGCAAUGGCAUAAGCUAGCUUGACUGCGAGCGUGACGGCGCGAGCAGGUGCGAAAGCAGGUCAUAGUGAUCCGGUGGUUCUGAAUGGAAGGGCCAUCGCUCAACGGAUAAAAGGUACUCCGGGGAUAACAGGCUGAUACCGCCCAAGAGUUCAUAUCGACGGCGGUGUUUGGCACCUCGAUGUCGGCUCAUCACAUCCUGGGGCUGAAGUAGGUCCCAAGGGUAUGGCUGUUCGCCAUUUAAAGUGGUACGCGAGCUGGGUUUAGAACGUCGUGAGACAGUUCGGUCCCUAUCUGCCGUGGGCGCUGGAGAAUUGAGGGGGGCUGCUCCUAGUACGAGAGGACCGGAGUGGACGCAUCACUGGUGUUCGGGUUGUCAUGCCAAUGGCACUGCCCGGUAGCUAAAUGCGGAAGAGAUAAGUGCUGAAAGCAUCUAAGCACGAAACUUGCCCCGAGAUGAGUUCUCCCUGAGACUUUAAGUCUCCUGAAGGAACGUU